RNAcentral lists this transfer RNA (73 nucleotides) under Bacteroidota bacterium. RNAcentral describes it as "Bacteroidetes bacterium (groundwater metagenome) tRNA-Arg". It matches the Rfam family "tRNA". Rfam says of the family: Transfer RNA (tRNA) molecules are approximately 80 nucleotides in length. Their secondary structure includes four short double-helical elements and three loops (D, anti-codon, and T loops). The record is from RNAcentral. Lineage: Bacteria; Pseudomonadati; Bacteroidota.
GGCUCUGUAGUUCAAUUGGAUAGAACGGUGGUUUCCUAAACCGCUAAUGGCGGUUCGAUUCCGCCCGGAGCUA